This 208-nucleotide ribosomal RNA is filed under the name uncultured bacterium. RNAcentral's name for it is "partial 16S ribosomal RNA". It matches the Rfam family "Bacterial small subunit ribosomal RNA", at positions 568 to 776 of the family's 1533-position model. The record is from RNAcentral.
AGCGUAGACGGUGUGGCAAGUCUGAUGUGAAAGGCAUGGGCUCAACCUGUGGACUGCAUUGGAAACUGUCAUACUUGAGUGCCGGAGGGGUAAGCGGAAUUCCUAGUGUAGCGGUGAAAUGCGUAGAUAUUAGGAGGAACACCAGUGGCGAAGGCGGCUUACUGGACGGUAACUGACGUUGAGGCUGAAAGCGUGGGGAGACAAACGA